RNAcentral lists this ribosomal RNA (468 nucleotides) under uncultured bacterium. RNAcentral describes it as "partial 16S ribosomal RNA". It matches the Rfam family "Bacterial small subunit ribosomal RNA", at positions 28 to 507 of the family's 1533-position model. The record is from RNAcentral.
GACGAACGCUGGCGGCGUGCUUAACACAUGCAAGUCGAACGGAAAGGCCCUGCUUUUGUGGGGUGCUCGAGUGGCGAACGGGUGAGUAACACGUGAGUAACCUGCCCUUGACUUUGGGAUAACUUCAGGAAACUGGGGCUAAUACCGGAUAGGAGCUCCUGCUGCAUGGUGGGGGUUGGAAAGUUUCGGCGGUUGGGGAUGGACUCGCGGCUUAUCAGCUUGUUGGUGGGGUAGGGGCUUACCAAGGCUUUGACGGGUAGCCGGCCUGAGAGGGUGACCGGCCACAUUGGGACUGCGAUACGGACCAGACUCGUACGGGAGGCAGCAGUGGGGAAUAUUGCACAAUGGGCGGAAGCCUGAUGCAGCAACGCCGCGUGCGGGAUGACGGCCUUCGGGUUGUAAACCGAUUUCGCCUGUGACGAAGCGUGAGUGACGGUAAUGGGUAAAGAAGCACCGGCUAACUACGUG